Molecule: ribosomal RNA, 440 nt
Filed under: uncultured bacterium
Lineage: Bacteria
Description: partial 16S ribosomal RNA
Rfam family: Bacterial small subunit ribosomal RNA
Source: RNAcentral
CCUACGGGAGGCAGCAGUGGGGAAUAUUGCACAAUGGGGGAAACCCUGAUGCAGCGAAGCCGCGUGAGUGAAGAAGUAUCUCGGUAUGUUAAGCCCUAUCAGCAGGGAAGCAAAUGCCGGUACCUGACUACGAAGCACCGGCUGACUACGUGCCAGCUGCCGUGGUAAUACGGAGGGGGCAAGCGUUAUCCGGAUUUACCGGGUGUAAAGGGAGCGUAGUCGGCCAGACAAGUCAGAAGUGAAAGCCCAGGGCUCAACCCUGGGACUGCCUUUGAAACUGCCGGGCUCGAGUGCAGGAGAGGUAAGCGGAAUGCCUAGUGUAGCGGUGAAAUGCGUAGAUAUUAGGAAGAACACCAGUGGCGAAGGCAGCUUACUGGACUGUAACUGACGUUGAGGCACGAAAGCGUGGGGAGCGAACAGGAUUAGAUACCCUAGUAGUC